UGGUGUUUGCUCAUUGCUGAAGGUCCUACGGUGAUCGUAAUUUGCUUCUCUUAUUGAUAAUUGAGUAGUUGGCAAUAUUAUAACAUCUCUUUAUUCUUAAAUACCCAGUCCAGAUUACCAGUAUAAUUAAUAUUAUUAAUUUGGAAAAUAUUUUAGAAUACAUGUGUUCAUAAUAAAAUGCAUGGUGAAUUUACAAGUUCAUU
RNAcentral lists this long non-coding RNA (203 nucleotides) under Mytilus galloprovincialis (Mediterranean mussel). Lineage: Eukaryota; Metazoa; Mollusca; Bivalvia; Mytilida; Mytilidae. The record is from RNAcentral.